AGAAUCAACGCUGGCGGCGUGCCUCAGACAUGCAAGUCGAACGCGAAAGUCCCCUUCGGGGGACAAGUAGAGUGGCGCACGGGUGAGUAACACGUAGGUAAUCUACCUUCGGAUGGGGAAUAACAACCGGAAACGGUUGCUAAUACCGCAUAAUGCAGCGGCACCUAAUGGUGACAGUUGUUAAAGCGGGGGAUCGAAAGACCUCGCGUCUGAAGAGGAGCCUGCGGCGGAUUAGCUAGUUGGUAGGUAACGGCCUACCAAGGCGACGAUCCGUA
RNAcentral lists this ribosomal RNA (275 nucleotides) under uncultured soil bacterium. Its description in RNAcentral is "partial 16S ribosomal RNA". It matches the Rfam family "Bacterial small subunit ribosomal RNA", at positions 26 to 285 of the family's 1533-position model. The record is from RNAcentral.